AACGAACGCUGGCGGCAUGCCUAACACAUGCAGGUCGAACGAAGGCUUCGGCCUUAGUGGCGCACGGGUGCGUAACGCGUGGGAAUCUGCCCUUUGGUUCGGAAUAACAGCUGGAAACGGCUGCUAAUACCGGAUGAUGACGAAAGUCCAAAGAUUUAUCGCCAGAGGAUGAGCCCGCGUUGGAUUAGGUAGUUGGUGGGGUAAAGGCCUACCAAGCCGACGAUCCAUAGCUGGUCUGAGAGGAUGAUCAGCCACACUGGGACUGAGACACGGCCCAGACUCCUACGGGAGGCAGCAGUGGGGAAUAUUGGACAAGGGGUGCAAGCCUGAUCCAGCAAUGCCGCGUGAGUGAUGAAGGCCCUAGGGUUGUAAAGCUCUUUUACCCGGGAAGAUAAUGACUGUACCGGGAGAAUAAGCCCCGGCUAACUCCGUG
This 433-nucleotide ribosomal RNA is filed under the name uncultured bacterium. RNAcentral's name for it is "partial 16S ribosomal RNA". It matches the Rfam family "Bacterial small subunit ribosomal RNA", at positions 29 to 507 of the family's 1533-position model. The record is from RNAcentral.